Molecule: ribosomal RNA, 497 nt
Filed under: uncultured bacterium
Lineage: Bacteria
Description: partial 16S ribosomal RNA
Rfam family: Bacterial small subunit ribosomal RNA
Source: RNAcentral
GAUGAACGCUGGCGGCGUGCCUAAUACAUGCAAGUCGAGCGAACGGACGAGAAGCUUGCGUCUCUGAUGUUAGCGGCGGACGGGUGAGUAACACGUGGAUAACCUACCUUUAAGACUGGGAUAACUUCGGGAAACCGGAGCUAAUACCGGAUAAUAUUUUGAACCGCAUGGUUCAAAAGUGAAAGACGGUCUUGCUGUCACUUAUAGAUGGAUCCGGGCUGCAUUAGCUAGUUGGUAAGGUAACGGCUGACCAAGGCAACGAUUCAUAGCCGACCUGAGAGGGUGAUCGGGCACACUGGAACUGAGAGACGGUCAAGAGUCCUACGGGAGGCAGCAGUAGGGAAUCUUCCGGAAUGGGCGAAAGCCUGACGGAGAAACGCCGCGUGAGUGAUGAAGGUCUUCGGAUCGUAAAACUCUGUUAUUAGGGAAGAACAUAUGUGUAAGUAACUGUGCAAAACUUGACGGUACCUAAACAGAAAGCCACGGCUAACUACGUG